Molecule: unclassified non-coding RNA, 259 nt
Filed under: Hevea brasiliensis (rubber tree)
Lineage: Eukaryota; Viridiplantae; Streptophyta; Magnoliopsida; Malpighiales; Euphorbiaceae
Source: RNAcentral
ACAUGAUCAAAGUCUCAAUUUCAUUCCAAACCCUAACUCAACUAUCUCAAACCAUGCCUUUUAACUUGCAUUUCAUUGCUCCACUUAAGAGAUUAAUACUAAGGGCAGCCAUACUACCAUUUUAGCUCCUUGAAAAUCAACAAAACCUUACCACAUCCAAGGCUGCCAAAAUUAUAGGAUGGGCAUACACAUGAUAUUUAUUAAAUUUCUUUGCAAUUUUGCACUCAAUCAUACUCCUUCAACAUGAAUUUGAAGAGAA